GACGAACGCUGGCGGCGUGCUUAACACAUGCAAGUCGAACGGAAAGGCCUUUUCGGAGGUACUCGAGUGGCGAACGGGUGAGUAACACGUGGGUGAUCUGCCCUGCACUCUGGGAUAAGCCUGGGAAACUGGGUCUAAUACCGGAUAGGACCGCACUUUAGUGUGUGUGGUGGAAAGUUUUUUCGGUGUAGGAUGAGCCCGCGGCCUAUCAGCUUGUUGGUGGGGUAAUGGCCUACCAAGGCGGCGACGGGUAGCCGGACUGAGAGGUUGGUCGGCCACAUUGGGACUGAGAUACGGCCCAGACUCCUACGGGAGGCAGCAGUGGGGAAUAUUGCACAAUGGGCGCAAGCCUGAUGUAGCGACGCCGCGUGGGGGAUGACGGCCUUCGGGUUGUAAACUCCUUUCGCCAGGGACGAAGCGUUUUGUGACGGUACCUGGAGAAGAAGCACCGGCUAACUACGUG
RNAcentral lists this ribosomal RNA (463 nucleotides) under uncultured bacterium. Its description in RNAcentral is "partial 16S ribosomal RNA". It matches the Rfam family "Bacterial small subunit ribosomal RNA", at positions 28 to 507 of the family's 1533-position model. The record is from RNAcentral.